Molecule: microRNA precursor, 101 nt
Filed under: Capitella teleta
Lineage: Eukaryota; Metazoa; Annelida; Polychaeta; Capitellidae
Description: microRNA cte-mir-2b precursor
Gene: cte-mir-2b
Source: miRBase by way of RNAcentral
UCGUGACCUCUGUGUGGCGUCAAUGUUGGUAUGUCAUAGUCCCCUGUGACGCGUAGGCCCUAUCACAGCCAACCUUGAUGAGCCUUUCAGAGGUAUCUCUC